This 313-nucleotide ribosomal RNA is filed under the name uncultured eukaryote. RNAcentral describes it as "partial 18S ribosomal RNA". It matches the Rfam family "Eukaryotic small subunit ribosomal RNA", at positions 1470 to 1796 of the family's 1831-position model. The record is from RNAcentral.
CCCUUAGAUGUUCUGGGCCGCACACGCACUACAAUGACAAAGUCAACGAGUAGAUCCGUUACUGAUAAGUACCGGUAAUCUUUUCAGUCUUUGUCGUGAUGGGGAUAGACCCUUGUAAUUAUUGGUCUCCAACGAGGAAUUCCUAGUAAACGCAAGUCAUCAACUUGCAUUGAUUACGUCCCUGCCCUUUGUACACACCGCCCGUCGCACCUACCGAUUGAAUGGCCCGGUGAAGUCUUCGGACUGGAGCUGACUCGUUAGCUCCAGAAAGUUGAGUAAACCUUACCAUUUAGAGGAAGGUGAAGUCGUAACA